CCUACGGGUGGCAGCAGUGAGGAAUAUUGGUCAAUGGGCGUAAGCCUGAACCAGCCAAGUCGCGUGAGGGAUGAAGGUUCUAGGGCUCGUAAACCUCUUUUAUAAGGGACUAUAGUGUGGGACGUGUCCUAUUUUGUAUGUACCUUAUGAAUAAGGAUCGGCUAACUCCGUGCCAGCAGCCGCGGUAAGACGGAGGAGCCGAGCGUUAUCCGGAUUUAUUGGGUUUAAAGGGUGCGUAGGCGGCCUUUUAAGUCAGCGGGGAAAGUCUGUGGCUCAACCAGAGAAUUGCGGUUGAAACUGGGGGGCUGGAGUGUGGUUGAGGCAGGCGGAAUGUGUGGUGUAGCGGUGAAAUGCUUAGAUAUCACGCAGAACCCCGAUUGCGAAGGCAGCCUGCCAAGCCAUGACUGACGCUGAUGCACGAAAGCGUGGGGAUCAAACAGGAUUAGAUACCCGGGUAGUC
This 460-nucleotide ribosomal RNA is filed under the name uncultured bacterium. RNAcentral describes it as "partial 16S ribosomal RNA". It matches the Rfam family "Bacterial small subunit ribosomal RNA", at positions 338 to 795 of the family's 1533-position model. The record is from RNAcentral.